AAAAAAAUUGAAGCAUACAUGUGUGUUAGAGAAAAGUUGAUAUUAAUGGGUGAGUAAUCUAAUUCAAUUUGGGGUAAGCCUAUUUAUAGAGCUUCUUUAAGUACCAUGCUGAUUUGGAAGUGACAGUUGGUAUCAGUUGGCUCCGUGACACAUCAUGUCGACUCCCCCGAGCGAACCUAUAUCCCUCGAUCGAGGUCCACCACUCGAGUUGCUUGAAGAAAUAAAAAACUCCAAAAAACAUAUUGAUUCUUCGAUCCAUCAAACUUUAGUGUUUGUGCUUAUCAUGUAAUUAGUUAUCUUCUCUCAACUACUUGGUUAAUUUUUCACCAUUUGAAGGCAAGAAAAAGCGAAGUAGGGGAACGGAAUUGCAAAUUCGCAAGUAUGAAUAGGGGACGUUCAAGAACUUACCGUCAUAGAUAGGAAAAAUCCUUAAAUGAUAUUAGUACAUUGUACAACUAAUUAAUCUAGUUGAAGAGAGGCUAAGUGGUCCCACUCAAGUAGCACCGCCCUUGUACAACAUAAGAUGCACAUUCAAAUACUACCUUAGUGACACCUCACAUAUAAAAUAACCUAAAACAAGGGUUUGGUUCGUCUAAAACUAGGGUGUCCACAAAACCAAGAUUUUAUUUAAGACACCGGAGUCUAACCAUAUUUUCCAUCACAAAACCUUCCAAUUAUGCAGCCGGAGCAUAGUCGUAGUCACCAUCGUCGUCGUCGUCGUCUCCAUCCCCAUCUUCGGCUUUUAAUAUCCGCAUAUUAUGAAGAUGGCUAUAAAGAAUACUGCUAUCUCCAUGAAGAUUGAGGAGCGGCUUGUACUCGAAACCAACAAUCUCUAAGAAAGAAAUCAUUUUAUAAUUCUAAUUCUAAAAAAAUGAGGCAAGGCGAAAAUUCAGACACUUUGCAAUGGGGAGAAAAUUAAAGGCGUGGUGUAAAGUUAUAUAUAGAGGGGUUUUUGCCCUAAUGUAGCAGCCAUAAAAGGUAAACCCGUGGGAAGGUGUGCCGAAAUGGCUUAGGAGUGCGCAUCAAACGUGAAAAUAUGUGUCAAAGUGGUGUCUAG
Molecule: long non-coding RNA, 1057 nt
Filed under: Olea europaea (common olive)
Lineage: Eukaryota; Viridiplantae; Streptophyta; Magnoliopsida; Lamiales; Oleaceae
Description: long non-coding RNA (OEUR_LNC004305)
Source: RNAcentral